This 96-nucleotide ribosomal RNA is filed under the name Ostrya japonica. Lineage: Eukaryota; Viridiplantae; Streptophyta; Magnoliopsida; Fagales; Betulaceae. The record is from RNAcentral.
UGCACCGGAUCCCAUCAGAACUCCGCAGUAAAGCGUGCUUGGGCGAGAGUAGUACUAGGAUGGGUGACCUCCUGGGAAGUCCUCGUGUUGCACCCC